CCUACGGGUGGCUGCAGUGGGGAAUAUUGCACAAUGGGCGCAAGCCUGAUGCAGCCAUGCCGCGUGUGUGAAGAAGGCCUUCGGGUUGUAAAGCACUUUCAGCGGGGAGGAAGGCGUUAAGGUUAAUAACCUUGUCGAUUGACGUUACCCGCAGAAGAAGCACCGGCUAACUCCGUGCCAGCAGCCGCGGUAAUACGGAGGGUGCAAGCGUUAAUCGGAAUUACUGGGCGUAAAGCGCACGCAGGCGGUCUGUCAAGUCGGAUGUGAAAUCCCCGGGCUCAACCUGGGAACUGCAUUCGAAACUGGCAGGCUAGAGUCUUGUAGAGGGGGGUAGAAUUCCAUGUGUAGCGGUGAAAUGCGUAGAGAUCUGGAGGAAUACCGGGGGCGAAGGCGGCCCCCUGGACAAAGACUGACGCUCAGGUGCGAAAGCGUGGGGAGCAAACAGGAUUAAUACCCGGGUAGUC
RNAcentral lists this ribosomal RNA (464 nucleotides) under uncultured Klebsiella sp. Its description in RNAcentral is "bacterial SSU rRNA". It matches the Rfam family "Bacterial small subunit ribosomal RNA", at positions 338 to 795 of the family's 1533-position model. Lineage: Bacteria; Pseudomonadati; Pseudomonadota; Gammaproteobacteria; Enterobacterales; Enterobacteriaceae. The record is from RNAcentral.